This 264-nucleotide long non-coding RNA is filed under the name Mustela putorius furo (domestic ferret). Its description in RNAcentral is "lncRNA (ENSMPUG00000030432.1)". The record is from RNAcentral. Lineage: Eukaryota; Metazoa; Chordata; Mammalia; Carnivora; Mustelidae.
AUGGACUGCAUUGUUUCCUGCACUCCUUCCAAGUUCAUGUUGAAGCCCAAACCCCCAGUACCUCAGAAUGUGACUGUAUUUGGAGAUAAAGUCUUUCAAAAGUCUGUUUCAGAGAGGGCUUCCUGGAGAACCCAGUGGGAUGCGGAGGCAUCCAUGUGGUCAUCUGAGGAAGACAUUUUCUUGCAGAAGCAACAACAGAGAGAGAGAGAAGGAGCACCAGCAAGGAGGAAGGUCAUAGAGAGAGGGAGAAACAGACUCUGCUGA